This 58-nucleotide non-coding RNA is filed under the name Cystobacter fuscus DSM 2262. Lineage: Bacteria; Pseudomonadati; Myxococcota; Myxococcia; Myxococcales; Archangiaceae. The record is from RNAcentral.
GGUGGAGCCCGUGCCGGCCUCCAUCCUUUCCACCCGGUACCUCGUACGGCCGGAGUGG